Molecule: long non-coding RNA, 331 nt
Filed under: Salvia miltiorrhiza (redroot sage)
Lineage: Eukaryota; Viridiplantae; Streptophyta; Magnoliopsida; Lamiales; Lamiaceae
Description: long non-coding RNA (SMIL_LNC005849)
Source: RNAcentral
GGGGACACAUAUGCUCAUUUUAAAGCGAUGAGUCCGGACUGCCCAUUUCUAUAUGCUCAUGUGCUUAGCUUCCCAGUGAACAAACAUUCAGCUGCUGUCUGUUUGUAGAUUUCUUCCUAAAUUUUAUAGUAAGUUAUUUUCAUCCUUUUAGAAGAAAGGUCCUUUUUAUGCAGCAGGGGGAGCUGCAAACAUUCUCCUAUCUUGUUAUAGGGCCUUUUAUUAAAAAUUAGAUCAUUUUGUAUUCAAACAUAAUCUUGUGGAUCGUUUGUAACUUGACGCUAUAUUUUCAUAACUAAAAUUUUUACAUAAUUCGAAUUAGUUCCGAUAUCCG